GUCCACGCUGUAAACGAUGAGCACUAGGUGUUGCGGGUAUUGACCCCUGCAGUGCCGACGCUAACGCAUUAAGUGCUCCGCCUGGGGAGUACGGCCGCAAGGCUAAAACUCAAAGGAAUUGACGGGGGGCCCGCACAAGCGGUGGAGUAUGUGGUUUAAUUCGACGCAACGCGAAGAACCUUACCCGGGUUUGACAUCGAGGGAAAGCUCCUAGAAAUAGGAGGCCUCCCCUUCGGGGGACCCAAAGACAGGUGCUGCAUGGCUGUCGU
This 269-nucleotide ribosomal RNA is filed under the name uncultured bacterium. RNAcentral describes it as "partial 16S ribosomal RNA". It matches the Rfam family "Bacterial small subunit ribosomal RNA", at positions 793 to 1055 of the family's 1533-position model. The record is from RNAcentral.